AGGACGAACGCUGGCGGCGUGCUUAACACAUGCAAGUCGAACGGUAAGGCCCUUCGGGGUACACGAGUGGCGAACGGGUGAGUAACACGUGGGUGAUCUGCCCUGCACUUCGGGAUAAGCUUGGGAAACUGGGUCUAAUACCGGAUAUGACUACGAAUCGCAUGGUUUGUGGUGGAAAGCUUUUGCGGUGUGGGAUGGGCCCGCGGCCUAUCAGCUUGUUGGUGGGGUGAUGGCCUACCAAGGCGACGACGGGUAGCCGGCCUGAGAGGGUGUCCGGCCACACUGGGACUGAGAUACGGCCCAGACUCCUACGGGAGGCAGCAGUGGGGAAUAUUGCACAAUGGGCGCAAGCCUGAUGCAGCGACGCCGCGUGAGGGAUGACGGCCUUCGGGUUGUAAACCGUCUUUCAGUAUCGACGAAGCGCAAGUGACGGUAGGUACAGAAGAAGGACCGGCCAACUACGUGCCAGCAGCCGCGGUAA
RNAcentral lists this ribosomal RNA (481 nucleotides) under uncultured bacterium. Its description in RNAcentral is "SSU rRNA". It matches the Rfam family "Bacterial small subunit ribosomal RNA", at positions 26 to 523 of the family's 1533-position model. The record is from RNAcentral.